UACGUAGGUGGCAAGCGUUAUCCGGAUUUACUGGGUGUAAAGGGCGUGUAGGCGGGACUGCAAGUCAGAUGUGAAAAUUAUGGGCUCAACCCAUAACCUGCAUUUGAAACUGUAGUUCUUAAGUGAUGGAGAGGCAGGCGGAAUUCCGUGUGUAGCGGUGAAAUGCGUAGAUAUACGGAGGAACACCAGUGGCGAAGGCGGCCUGCUGGACAUUAACUGACGCUGAGGCGCGAAAGCGUGGGGAGCAAACAGG
Molecule: ribosomal RNA, 253 nt
Filed under: uncultured bacterium
Lineage: Bacteria
Description: partial 16S ribosomal RNA
Rfam family: Bacterial small subunit ribosomal RNA
Source: RNAcentral